Long non-coding RNA from Rhododendron vialii, 549 nucleotides. RefSeq lists it as uncharacterized. The record is from RefSeq and is a predicted model, not a curated record. Lineage: Eukaryota; Viridiplantae; Streptophyta; Magnoliopsida; Ericales; Ericaceae. The transcript is spliced from 3 exons.
AAAAAAAGGCGGGGUUUUUACUUCCCGACACCGUUUUCCACACCUGAUCUAAACCCCCCCUUACAUUCCCCCCUGCGCCUCACUUCGUCAUUUACCCAGCUCUCUCUCGCCGCCCACCAUUACCAUCUCAGUUUCCACACCUGACCCCUGCCAUCACCGCCUCCCUCUCCGGCUCUCCCCUUAAGAAGAAGUGAAUUUGAGCGUGGAGGAGUCCGGCCGUGCCUUCACAUCUCAGUUCAGAGAAUCAAAACUUCUCCCUUCUACCGAGAACGGAGCUUUGAUAAGAUAUUGGAGUAUCUGGCAUCUCGUUAAGGACUAUAUAUAUGAAAAAGUUGGAUUUUUACCGUGGAUUCUACCGUAAUUUAGUUUUGUUGAACUUUUGUAUUAUUUUGCGCUCUAGGGCAUGGAUAUGAUAUGUUUGAUGGUAGCACUUUUGUGGUACGAUUUUUCGUUAUUUUGUACUUUUGCGAAUUCGGAUACCGUAUGUUAAGUAUUUUGUGAACACCUUUUAUUUAUGGAAAUUAUGAAUAAAUUGUUCUUGAAUUUCAA